RNAcentral lists this ribosomal RNA (322 nucleotides) under uncultured eukaryote. RNAcentral describes it as "partial 18S ribosomal RNA". It matches the Rfam family "Eukaryotic small subunit ribosomal RNA", at positions 1470 to 1796 of the family's 1831-position model. The record is from RNAcentral.
CCCUUAGAUGUUCUGGGCCGCACACGCGCUACACUGAAGGAGGCAGCGUGUACUCCUGGAUCGAAAGAUUUGGGUAACCCGCGAAUCUCCUUCGUGCUAGGGAUUGAGGUUUGCAAUUAUCCUUCAUGAACGAGGAAUUCCCAGUAAGUGCAAGUCAUAAGCUUGCGCUGACUACGUCCCUGCCCUUUGUACACACCGCCCGUCGCUACUACCGAUUGAGUGAUCCGGUGAAUAAUUCGGACUGCGGCAUUGACCGGUUCCCGAUCGUUGCUGCGGAAAGUUUAGUGAACCUUAUCACUUAGAGGAAGGAGAAGUCGUANCA